Molecule: ribosomal RNA, 445 nt
Filed under: uncultured bacterium
Lineage: Bacteria
Description: partial 16S ribosomal RNA
Rfam family: Bacterial small subunit ribosomal RNA
Source: RNAcentral
CCUACGGGUGGCAGCAGUCGAGAAUCAUUCACAAUGGGGGAAACCCUGAUGGUGCGACGCCGCGUGGGGGAAUGAAGGUCUUCGGAUUGUAAACCCCUGUCAUGUGGGAGCAAAUUAAAAAGAUAGUACCACAAGAGGAAGAGACUGCUAACUCUGUGCCAGCAGCCGCGGUAAUACAGAGGUCUCAAGCGUUGUUCGGAAUCACUGGGCGUAAAGCGUGCGUAGGCUGUUUCGUAAGUCGUGUGUGAAAGGCGCGGGCUCAACCCGCGGACGGCACAUGAUACUGCGAGACGAGAGGAAUGGAGGGGGAACCGGAAUUCUCGGUGUAGCAGUGAAAUGCGUAGAUAUCGAGAGGAACACUCGUGGCGAAGGCGGGUUCCUGGACAUUAACUGACGCUGAGGCACGAAGGCCAGGGGAGCGAAAGGGAUUAGAUACCCUGUAGUC